GGCGUAAGCUCUGUGUUCGCUUAUGACCUGUAUCACAAGCUGAGCUGCUCACAUGUCUUAAUAUAUUUCCCAUCAGGCCCCCAUGGGAGAUGGGAUGUUUUGUCACCUUUGUUUUACAGGCUGAAGGAUCUCAAGACGCAGGGGAUUAAAGAUCCUGCCCGCUGCCCUGGUGGGACUUCUGCGACGGGCCUAACCGUUAGAGACGCUGAAGUUGGCAUCCUCCCUCCAGCAGUGAUGUAGCUAAAAGCCCGUAAAGGAUUGGUGCACUUUCCUGCGUGGAUCAGAUUAGCAGUACUAACAAUCCUGCCAUAAUCUAGUUUUUUGCUAAUAGCGUGUGCUGCACUGGUAUAACCACAGUUGUAUCAGCAUGAAUUUCCUUAACGUUUAAUACAGAAUAAUGGUGUGACUCUUGCAAGAACCACAGAGGAUAUGAGAAGCGUACGCCUACGCUCAGGAGCGCUGUUAUCCUCUCGGAUGUGGUGGGAACCCAUCCACUUACAUUGGUGGGCUCUGGGCAACGUCCUCGUUGUCCUCAGGUUUCACACCGCUGCUGGUGAAGACAUCUCCUACGGGCACACUUUUUAAGGCUCUUAAGGUUGCCAGUGCAGCGUGGAGAGGCCACGGAGAGAUGGAGGAGGCAGCGUUGCUGGAAGAGGUACAGCAUGAGCAGCCGACCGCAGCAGCUCAGGCGCUGAAUAAAUGAAGCGCCAGACAUUAGGCUGUCAGGCUUAUCUAAUCGGAGGCAAAUGUGUGGAAGAACCUGCUCCACGUCAGCUGCACUGCUGGAUCAUUUCAUCACGGAAAGGAAGCAACCCAUAUUUCUGUACUGAUGUGGUCAAAAAUUCAAAAUGCACCUAGACCUACUCCUCGGUUACUUUGCAGGCAUCAGGUACUGUUCCAAGUACUGCAAGGGAAUCUUAGUAUUCACAGAAAAUAGGUCCUAGAAUACCAGAAGAAACACAUUUUCCUAUAGCAGUUGUGUUACCCAUUACUUUUAUACAUCUUGAACAGACCAAUGUCAGAUUUACACGGGAGUUUAAGUUGAAAAAAAAGAGUGGUUCUCCCAAGUUAGACUGAGAAAAUCUUAACUGGGCCAGCUGAAUUUCCCCAAGAUACUGUGGAUUUAGUAAAGUAUAGACAAAACAAUACAAAUUUCCAUGGCAAUAACAAUGUGGAAGCAUUUGGGCUUGCUUAUGCAGAUACAAGCUGGACUCCCAGAAAAUUUCUCCCGGAAAAUUGAGCAAGAGUGUGUGAGCCUGUAGGACUUCAAUGACGCUUCAGUCUCUUGCAUGCGAAUGCUGACGAAACGCUGAGCUUCUGUGAACAAUUUAAGGCAGAGAAAAACAAGAGUAACAGAUUCUAAGUGGUUUUGGCUGCAUAAAAACACUGUUCUUACGUUGCUGCAUUGUAGUAAAUGCCUAAUAUGGAGCUAUAUGUAUAAUUCAAAUUAAGUCAGAGACUUUCAAAGACAGGAAGGGUCAGUAAGUACUUCAUUCCCAGUUCAGAUGCCUAGUCAUGCUUUGCACCUUAAACGUUAUGAUUCUGUCACGUCUUAAUUUUUCUACUGCUAUAUUUUGACAUAAA
This 1584-nucleotide long non-coding RNA is filed under the name Struthio camelus australis. RNAcentral's name for it is "lncRNA (ENSSCUG00000016809.1)". Lineage: Eukaryota; Metazoa; Chordata; Aves; Struthioniformes; Struthionidae. The record is from RNAcentral.